Molecule: ribosomal RNA, 420 nt
Filed under: bacterium
Lineage: Bacteria
Description: partial 16S ribosomal RNA
Rfam family: Bacterial small subunit ribosomal RNA
Source: RNAcentral
UGGGGGAUAUUGCACAAUGGGCGAAAGCCUGAUGCAGCGACGCCGCGUGGGGGAUGAAGGCUUUCGGGUUGUAAACCUCUUUCGCUAUCGAACAAGGCCCGCUUAGGGUGGGUUGAGGGUAGGUGGAGAAGAAGCGCCGGCUAACUUCGUGCCAGCAGCCGCGGUAAUACGUAGGGCGCGAGCGUUGUCCGGAAUUAUUGGGCGUAAAGGGCUUGUAGGCGGCUUGUUGCGCCUGCUGUGAAAACGCGGGGCUUAACUUCGCGCGUGCAGUGGGUACGGGCAGGCUUGAGUGUGGUAGGGGUGACUGGAAUUCCAGGUGUAGCGGUGGAAUGCGCAGAUAUCUGGAGGAACACCGAUGGCGAAGGCAGGUCACUGGGCCAUUACUGACGCUGAGGAGCGAAAGCAUGGGUAGCGAACAGG